GAACCGUGCGAACGUUGUUCGGAUUCACUGGGCUUAAAGGGCGCGUAGGCGGGCAUUCAAGUCAGGGGUGAAAUCUUUCGGCUCAACCGGAAAAUAGCCUUUGAUACUGGAUGUCUCGAGGGAGGUAGGGGCAUGUGGAACUUCCGGUGGAGCGGUGAAAUGCGUAGAUAUCGGAAGGAACGCCGGUGGCGAAAGCGACGUGCUGGACCUCUUCUGACGCUGAGGCGCGAAAGCCAGGGGAGCAAACGGGAUUAGAUACCCCGGUAGUCCUGGCCCUAAACGAUGGGUACUAGGUUGUGGACUUGACAUGGGUUCACAGCCGAAGCAAAAGUGAUAAGUACCCCGCCUGGGGAGUAUGGUCGCAAGGCUGAA
Molecule: ribosomal RNA, 372 nt
Filed under: uncultured bacterium
Lineage: Bacteria
Description: bacterial SSU rRNA
Rfam family: Bacterial small subunit ribosomal RNA
Source: RNAcentral